AUUGAACGCUGGCGGCAGGCCUAACACAUGCAAGUCGAACGGUAACAGGAAGAAGCUUGCUUCUUUGCUGACGAGUGGCGGACGGGUGAGUAAUGUCUGGGAAACUGCCUGAUGGAGGGGGAUAACUACUGGAAACGGUAGCUAAUACCGCAUAACGUCGCAAGACCAAAGAGGGGGACCUUCGGGCCUCUUGCCAUCGGAUGUGCCCAGAUGGGAUUAGCUAGUAGGUGGGGUAACGGCUCACCUAGGCGACGAUCCCUAGCUGGUCUGAGAGGAUGACCAGCCACACUGGAACUGAGACACGGUCCAGACUCCUACGGGAGGCAGCAGUGGGGAAUAUUGCACAAUGGGCGCAAGCCUGAUGCAGCCAUGCCGCGUGUAUGAAGAAGGCCUUCGGGUUGUAAAGUACUUUCAGCGGGGAGGAAGGGAGUAAAGUUAAUACCUUGACUAAUUGACGUUACCCGCAGAAGAAGCACCGGCUAACUCCGUG
This 490-nucleotide ribosomal RNA is filed under the name uncultured bacterium. RNAcentral's name for it is "partial 16S ribosomal RNA". It matches the Rfam family "Bacterial small subunit ribosomal RNA", at positions 30 to 507 of the family's 1533-position model. The record is from RNAcentral.